GGCGAUGAACAUGACGCACUGCACCUGCUUGAUGUUGUCGAAGCCGAUGAUACGGAUGUAACAGUCGGGGUAGGCCUUCUUGCACUCCUCGAACUCAGCGUACACCUGGGUGGCCUCGGUGCAGCCGAACAUGGGCAGCUUCCACAUGGUCCAGUAGCGCCCGUCGUAGUAACAGGGAGACGUGCUGUUCUCACGAUAGACGAACCCGAUCUUGCUGAACUCGAGGCAGGGGAUCCAGUUCUUCCGGAUCAGGUAGUCGAUCUGCUUUAGGACCUCGUCCGUGGAGAGAGGUGGCAGGUAGGAGAGGGUCUCGAACUUCUUGUUGCCCUCCGCCGGCCACACCUGAGCAAUUAACAAUGCCCAUGCAUCAGUUCCUGACUUCCUACUACUCAGUUGCAUUUAACUCAGAUCGAUUGUCGAGCUGUUUAUUCGGUCGUGCAUGCUCUGUAUGUACUCUGUUUCUCUCUACUUAACGAAAAACAUGCUAUUGCGCGUCUUAAAAAAAAGAUCGAUCGAUUGUUACCUGCAUGCACCUGAUCCUUCCGCCGUUGCUGACGUUGCCGAAGCCGGAGCUGCUGGAGCGGCGGCUGACGGGGAGUCUGGCGGUGGACUUGAGCCCCUGGAAUGGAGCGACGGAGGUGGCGGCGGCCAUCGCGGUGGGGGCCAUGGCUUACUAGAGACCAAGCUAGCGAAUAAAACUGAAGCCUCAGUAGCUUGAGUUGAGGCUUGUGGCAAGGGGCACAUAUAACCAAACCAGAGGGGAUGUCAGGAUAUGGCAGGAGUGGCUGCUGUUGGACAGUCCAAACGUUUGUGGCUAGCUCAUGCGGCGUCAGCUGCUCUGUCGUCGUCUGAUGCACCUUUGCUGUAUACGGGAUGCAGGCGCCAACCAAUUAAUGAGAGGAGAGGAGCUGGUGGUCCACAGGCGAGAGAUGAUUUGCCUCCAUCCAACCUCAUACGAACCAGACAGUCCCGGCCAGGUACAAUACAAACGGCAGCAAAGCAUCUGCGUAUGAGCGUAUCCUGUGAAAGGCAUAUGCAAAGAGUACGUGCACACGAGUCCAUGUCGAUGCAAGGGAAAGACAAGACAACCAAUCGGCUUAUUUGUGCCUUCCAACAGUUUUGGAGUUUGCAAACCAAGCUUCGGACAUUCCAACGUUCGAUGUUGGAAGCGAAUACAUCCAAUCUGUGGUUUUCAGUAAUAAAUAUUUGGCAGGGCAAAUUUGUUGGACCGGACGAAUUUGAACCGCAGAGACAACACGUGAAAUAUAUGCAAACACUAACAAAAACGCAGCUCUCAUAUAAAAACGAAUAUCGUGCAUUUGCAAAACUUAUUCAAGUAAAAGGCUAGCUAUUAAGUCAAGAAAAUGUAUGCAAUAAUAUGCAUCAGACCACCCAAACCAUACUUUCACUGGAUUUUAUUAUGAAAAAUUACUGGUCCAAAAUAAAUCCAAAACGAAAUACAACAGGAAACUGGGUGAAAUUGUAGGCUUCCUGGUUUUAGAGCCUGCCCCGCUUUCAAAAAUAGCACUCAAAAUUUACAAGAAAGCAAACAUACGCCCUGUACAUGCUUGCAUGGUAAACGAAACCUUUACAAAUUUCUGGUUAUAUACAUGUUGAUGAUCUCAGAAGAGAUGUACACGCCAGAAAAUUUUUUCCUUCACUUCCAGUAACUCAUAUACAACAUCCACGAACCUUGACGGGCUGCAUGCCCCAAUUGAUGCCAGCAUGUCCCAUACUUGGCAUAUGUGGAUCAGAUGAUAUUUGAAAGACCAGUUGGCAAUAGCCCGCUUGCCGCAUGCGACAUGUACCAUCAAUCAUUACCACUGGUCUUUCAUGCCUUGUCCUCAAUAAUCCAGCUAGUCAUUGUACCCUUGAUUUCACAUACAAUCAGUGAUGAAAGAAGACAGUGCAACAACCACAGCAACGGAAAUGGAUCAACUCAACUGUUGCAACGCCAGAAAGGGUCACCUGGUUCAGUUGAAGUUUCUAGCUAAGAGAUCGUGAGAAUAAACAAGUAGACUAAUUUCCAAAAACAAACGUACCUAGCAAACUGGUAAGCCAACCAUGCAACGGCAAGUUCAAAGCUGAAGGCACAAAUGGACCACAGCCACAGCCAUUCUUCUUGUUGAAGGCUCAUCUGGGGGAUGUGGAAACAGUGGCUGCCGUUCGCCGGUAGAGCUACGGGUGGCUGCUACAGAGUACGACGACGAUUGCUUCGCAAAUGGCACCGCGCGGCAGCCACAAGGGGGCCGUGGGGUGGGGGAGCGCCCAAAGCAUCCUGACGCGGAGGGGGAUGCAAUUUUGCUUCGUGCAUUUGAUUUUAGAGCAGCGUAUAUGGUUCUAGUUAGUUUACUGUGUGCUAAACACGAAGCACAUCAAUUUAAUUUGUAUAACAUCCCAUCCUCCAAAGCCACACCACCUAACUCUUCAAGGGGCAGGCACGCAUACACAUAGCGCCCUACUUACGCUUUAAUCCUCGCUUCGUGUAGAAGGCUUAACCCGAAAGUACUAUGACUGGUGGACAAUGUUAUAGCUGGCUCCACCCUUGCUCAAUUAGCAAGUGGUAGUAAACAUGCGCACCUGCGCUCAUGGGCCACUAUUGGACCUCAACCAAAUUGGGCCGGGUGUCACAUACAUCCCCCACAAAGAACUCGACGUCUUCGUCGGUCCAACUCACCCACACAUGGGCAAAUGUCCAGGAACGUUCCUCUUAGCGCAUGACCAUACGUCCAGUGCCGGCGCCAUAUGCCAUGCCAUGUGUUCCAUCCAGAACCCACACGUGCCAUGUGCCAUAUGUCCGCACACUGACCCGUACGCACAACCUCGAGGGUCGGCUUUGAUACCACUUGUAACACCCCGUCCUCCAAAGCCGCACUGCCUAGCCCUUCCGAGGGGUGGGCACGCAUACACAUAGCACUCUACUUGCACUUUCGUCCUCGCUUCGUAUAAAAGGGUUAACCCGAAGCUGCUAUGGCUGAUGGAUAAAUAUUUAUAAGUUGGCUCCACCCUUGCUCAACUAGUAAGAUGGUACUAAACAUGCGCACCUACGCUCAUGAGUCAUUACUGGGCCUCAACCAAAUUGGGAUGGGUGUCACAUUUGUGUUGUUUGAUUCAACAGUAAACAGAUGUGUGGUUUAUCAAUCCAACUAUUUGAUACCCAUGUGUGAUUCCAUUGGAGAGACCAUGGUCGUUGAUUUGACCUCUAAUUUGAACAUGCUAUGACCUCCAUUGGGGUGAGAUCCGGUUCGAUGCUGCCAUCUGCCCGGUCGAUGUGUUAUGUCUAUAGUUUUUGUGCAAAUGCAUUCUUAUGUGUUAACAGGUGUUUCAAAUUGGCACAAAUUUGAUUUUUUUUGGGCUGCUAUAUAUAGUAGGUUUUGUGCAUAAGAAUAGGGAUUUUUUUGUACUGCUCUAAUCCAAAUGAUGUGAAUAAUGAAUGAUUUGAUGUAAAUAUGGAACUUUUGGAAAUAUUCAAAUGCAGUUAACUGAUGGGUGAUUAGGGCAGGCUAAACUUCUAAUAAUUGCUGUACCUAGAGAUGCCAACCCCGCCCCCGCCCUCUCCCCAAAAAAAGGAAAAAAAGAAAAGCAUAAACCUAACUCUUGCAUGAUGAUCUCUCUGUAUUAGCAGCAUGUGUCUAUCAUAUAUAGAAUCUAUUUGUUGUACCAAAUAGAUGGAGGUGUAUGCCUUGUCUUUAUCAUAUAGAGUCUGAAUUAUCAUAAUAGCCAGCUUAAACCAUGAUUUUGUUCUAGUUUAUGAUGAGUAUGCACAAAUUUAAGAACUAACCUAGUUGUCUCUCGUUGUGGCAUUAAUCUAAUGGUACUACUGUUGUGACUAUCAUGAUGUACGAAAUGUAGUGACAUGCCUAUUUGCUUAGCGGCGUUGCUUGCUACAAAAUGCCUAAAUAGGGUCUUUGAGGCGUUUGGGCAAGCCGCCAACAGAAGUCUAUUGAGGUAAUAACAAAAGCGCCUAGAAAAUGUUGUAAGCCUUUUUAAAAAUACCUUCAGAAACACCUUUUUGAGGUGUGUUCGUCAAAGCGUGCAUGUGUCAACUUUUCCCUUCGUCAAUCUUUUACUACUAAUAAAACUAAACGGGCGAAUAAACAUCAUGCGUCAUGCGUCGGCGGCUCCUCCGCUAUCGUCCUGCCAAAAACUAACGCGGGCCAUCCAAUCCCUUCUCUUGCAUCCUGCGACGUCCGUUCUUCACCUUUGCCAUCCCGCUCGCCCUUCGCCCCGCCUCUCCCUAUUAUCCCCCUUGGUAAAAAAACACCUACCCCGCACGCUCGCUCGGUAGCGCAGCCACUGCUCAACCCACCAUGCCCGCUCGACCUCGCUGGCUCUCGGGACGCCACCCACCAGGCGCUCGCGGUUCGCCAUACCAUGCCUCAACUCCACCCGAGGGCUGCUGCUCCCAUCCACCUCCCUAUUUUGUCGUCCACGUGAUGGCGAAUAGGGAUGCUGGUGCGGCCAUAGAUGGUGGCUUCCUUCCUCCUUCCCAGGCUCUCAGUUCCUGUGGUCAUCAGGAUUUGCACGGUGGCUCCCCUCUCCCUCGUAUCUGCGGCCUGCACGGCGGAUCAGGAGGCUUGGCCAGAAGAAACAGAGAUGGCAGUACGGGGAGGUGCCACCCGGUUCAACUUGCGGUGAGACUGUCAACACCAUAGAGGGAUCUACGGGUUAGUCCCAUCUACAUGCUUUCCAUCCCAAAUCGUGUGUGCAUAUCCAAUAUUUUGAUUUUCGGUUCAAAAAAUCUGAUCAGCAGCCUCUCCUUGCUAUAUGAACGGGUCCAUUCAUUCUCCUUCAGAAUCAGGGUCCAAGUUUAAUCUUUUGUGCUCCGACUCAAAGCCCAAACGCCAGCGCAAUGGGGAUGUCGAAGGUGCUGGUAAUCGGCACAAUUGCCCCCAUCCUUGAUGCAGGCCAGCACCAUGGGGUUGGCGAAGGUACUGGCAGUGGACGCAAUUGCCCCCAUCUUUGAUGCAGUUUCAUUGAAUGUCGAAGAAGCUGCAGGAGCAACUUCUUGGCAACAGUCAGUUGCCAAAUUUAUUUGUAGCCUACGAAUUAACUAGCCAAUUAGUCUUUAGAUAUGAUGUACACCGAUCAAGUAUGUGUAAACCUAUUUUCUACUACUAAUAAAAUUAAACGGGCGAAUAAACAUCGUGCAUCGGCGGCUCCCUCCAUUAUCAUCCUGCCAAAAAACUAACAUGGGCCAUCCAAUCCCUUAUCCUGCUACAUCCAUUCUCAGCCUUCACCAUCCCACUCGCCCUUCGCCACCCCACUCUCCCUUCUCGCCACCUCUCCCAUUACCCCCAUCGGUAAGAGAAACCCUAACCCGCACACUCGCUCGCUGGCACAGCCGCCGCUCCGCCCGCCCUACCCGCUCGACCUUGCUGGCUUUCGGGACGCCACCCGCCGGGCGCUCGCGGUUCGCCGUGCCAUGCCGCAACUCCACCCGAGGGCUGUUGCUCCCAUCCACCUUCCUGUUUUGUCGCCCAUGCGAUUGCGAAUAGGGAUGUCGGCGCGGCCAUAGGCGGCGGCUCCCUUCCUCCUCCGCGGGCUCUCAGUUCCUGCAGUCAUCGGGAUCUGCACAAACCAUGGCAUGGUGGCCCCCCUCUCCCUUGUAUCUACGGCCCAAAGCUGCACGGUGGAUCAGGAGGCGUGGCCACAAGCAACAGAGAUGGCAUUACCGGGAGGUGUCGCCCGAUUCAACUCGCGGUGAGACUGGGUCAUCUGACUCCAUGGAGGGAUCUACAUGUUAGUCCCAUCUACAUGCUUUCCAUCACAAAUCGUGUGUGCAUAUCCAAUAUUUUGAUUUUCCGUGCAAAAAAUGCAUCCUCCCCUUGCUACCAAUGAACGGGUUCUGCCAUUAUCCUUCAAAAUCAGGGUCCAAGUUCAAUCUUUUGUGCUCCCACUCAAAGCCCAAACGGCCAGUGCGAUGGGGAUAUCGAAGGUGCUGGUAACCGGCGCAAUUGCCCCCAUCAUUGAUGCAGGCCAGCACGAUGGGGAUGGCGAACGUGCUGGCAGUGGACGCAAUUGCUUCCAUCCUUAUGCAGUUUCACUGAAUGUCGAGCAAAGCUGCAGGAGCAACUUCUGGGCAACAGCCAGUUGCCAAAUUUAUCUGUAGCCAGGUAAUUUACUAGACAAUUAGUCUUUAGAUAUAAUGUACAUCGAUCAAGUAUGUGUAAAUCUAUCUUCUACUACUAAUAAAACUAAAUGGGCGAAUAAACGUCAUAAGUCGGCGCCUCCCUCAGCUAUGGCUCUGCCAAAAAACUAACGUGGGUUGUCCGAUCCUUCUCUUGCAUCUUGCAACGUCCGUUCUCCACCUUUGCCAUCCCGCUUGCCCUUCGCCAUCCUGCUCGCCCUUCACCCCGCCUCUCCCGUUACCCCCUCGGUGUAAAAAAAAACCUUACCCCGCACGCUCACUUGCUGGCAAAGCCGCUGCUCCACCCGCCAUGCCCGCUUGAUCUCGCUGGCUCUCGGGACUCUACCCACUGAGCGCCCGCGGUUCGCCGUGCCAUGCCGCAACUCAACCCGAGGGCUGCUGCUCCUAUCCAACUUCCUAUUUUGUCACCCAUGUGAUGGCGAAUAGAGAUGUCGGCGCGGCCAUAGGUGGCGGCUCCCUUGCUCCUCCCUGGGCUCUUAGUUCCUGCAGUCAUUGGGAUCUGCAGGACCACGGCGCGGUGGUCCCCUCUCCCUCGUAUCUGUGGCCCAAAACUACACGGCGGGUCAGGAGGCGUGGCCACAAGCAACAGAGAUGGCAGUACCAGGAGGUGCCUUCUGACUCAACUUGCGGUGAGACUGCGUCACCCUACUUCAUGGAGGGAUCUACAUAUUAGUCCCAUCUACAUGCUUUCCAUCCCAAAUCGUGUGUGCGUAUCUAAUAUUUUGAUUUUCUGUGCAACUUGAGCAAAUCAAGUAUUAUGAUGAUCGUAUGUUAUCGCCCUUAGGAAAAAUAUAUAUAACUGGUGUUUUUUUAAUCAUCAUUCUUAGUCACUUUUGGUCCAGUAAGAGUAUUUUUUUUAGCAUGUAACCUUAGCAAAAAAAUAGAGGGGCAUGUGUUGAUGACCGAAAUUGACAAAUUUGGGUGAAGUAGUCUAUAAACCAGUCAGACCGGUUUGAACAUAGUUCUCAAAUUUUAAAUUGGACCUUACCAUUGUGUAGCUCUUGUCGAGACGAUUAAAAUGCAUACGUAGAACGUCCAAUUCGGAGCUUAGGUGAGAGAGUUACAAACUCAGGAAGUUCUGCACCUGAGCCAAACCGGUCAAAUUGGUUUGCAAGGAUGGUUAGACUGGUUUGGUAUGUGUAAACCGAGUUAGGAGUUGUAUUUUCAUAUGGGAUUCGUAAGGGUUUUGAUUCUUAUUGGGGCAAGACCUUCCCUCCCUAUAAAUAUAAAGGGUCACGACCGAUUGUGGGUAAUACAAUCGAUCAAAUACAAAAGCAUCUACUAUUUUUGCUUUAAACCUUUUUCUCUUUGCCCUAGCUUUUCCAACCCCAUCUUGCUAUUAUUCCUUCGUCUCUACGAUGUCUGAGGAUGUUUUAUGUGGUCGCCAACCCUUAGAACAGCCCAAGGUGUGCUUUCCCUGAUGGGGUCCCUCCCUCCCGAGCAUUUGUUUGUUCUUUGCCAGGCUCACCGCUCUGACGGUCCACCAAACCGGUCUAACCGCCUUGUACAGAGGUGUUGCAAGGACCCAUCCGCAUGCUGCACGUUCGAGUGCAAGUAUUUGGUGUGACCCGUUAUCAUGUCAAUACACAAGUUUUGCUAUGCAUAUGUAUCUAGAAAAGCCAAAACGAGGUACAAUUUGGGAUAUGGAGUUUUGGUGUGUAUCUAAAAUCUAUAUAUGUAGAAAAGUUAAAAUGAUCUGCAUUUUAGAGUGGAUGGAGUAUGAUUCAGCUAGUCAAAUCUAUGAUAUUUGCACAGUUUAAAUGCUCUGUGAGAAAAUGUACUCCAAUCAACUCCUUAUGUAUCAUCACAUGUGUUGACACCAGUUUUUGACCAGAGUCAACUGUUGUGGAUAAGAUUCUGAUAGCCAAUGAAAGAGAGCGAAAGAGC
Molecule: long non-coding RNA, 8038 nt
Filed under: Setaria italica (foxtail millet)
Lineage: Eukaryota; Viridiplantae; Streptophyta; Magnoliopsida; Poales; Poaceae
Description: long non-coding RNA (SITA_LNC002408)
Source: RNAcentral